CUACAUGUGUAUAUCUAUGUGCCUCUACACAUCUGUGCAUGUGCCUUUGUGUUCACUUUAAAAUCAUGUACUGUGUCUUGUCCACAGGCAGAGAUCAGUAGCCUUCAGCAGCUUCUGCUCAGUAAGAAUGCCGAGAUCGAGAGCUUGCACACUCAGCUCCUGGCCAGACCCUCUCUUUCUGCUGAGAGCUCAGACAGAGAUCAGGAACUGCAGAGGCUUAGGAGUGGAAUGGACUCACUGUUAGCUGCCAAUGAUGAGAAGGACCGCCGCAUUGAGGAGCUCACUCUGCUGCUGAACCAGUGCAGGCAAUUCAGAGAGGUCACUCACAACACAAGGCAAGCUCCACCUGCUGUCCAUUCAAUGACAAAUGGCAGGACUCCAUCAAGCAGCAGUGAAGAAGAAGAGCAGGGAGUGACAAAGAAUACUGACUCUGCUAGUGCCAAAUCUGAGGAUAUAAAGUCAGAGGUGGGUAAAAAACAAAUUCCAGCUGGCCUUAUAUGCUAUAUGCAUGAGGAGAGGAAUGGAUUCUUAUUGUUAAGCUACUAGACCUACCUA
RNAcentral lists this long non-coding RNA (555 nucleotides) under Myripristis murdjan (pinecone soldierfish). RNAcentral's name for it is "lncRNA (ENSMMDG00005009722.1)". Lineage: Eukaryota; Metazoa; Chordata; Actinopteri; Holocentriformes; Holocentridae. The record is from RNAcentral.